RNAcentral lists this ribosomal RNA (460 nucleotides) under uncultured bacterium. RNAcentral describes it as "partial 16S ribosomal RNA". It matches the Rfam family "Bacterial small subunit ribosomal RNA", at positions 338 to 795 of the family's 1533-position model. The record is from RNAcentral.
CCUACGGGAGGCAGCAGUGAGGAAUAUUGGUCAAUGGGCGUAAGCCUGAACCAGCCAAGUCGCGUGAGGGAUGAAGGUUCAAUGGAUCGUAAACCUCUUUUGUCAGGGAAUAAAGAGUGGGACGCGUCCUGUUAUGUGUGUACCUUAUGAAUAAGGAUCGGCUAACUCCGUGCCAGCAGCCGCGGUAAUACGGAGGAUGCGAGCGUUAUCCGGAUUUAUUGGGUUUAAAGGGUGCGAAGGCGGCCUUUUAAGUCAGCGGUCAAAGUCGGUGGCUCAACCACAGACUGGCCGUUGAAACUGGGAGGCUUGAGUUGGUUUGAGGCAGGCGGAAUGCGUGGUGUAGCGGUGAAAUGCUUAGAUAUCACGCAGAACCCCGAUUGCGAAGGCAGCCUGCCAAGCCAAGACUGACGCUGAUGCACGAAAGCGUGGGGAUCAAACAGGAUUAGAUACCCGAGUAGUC